RNAcentral lists this ribosomal RNA (409 nucleotides) under uncultured prokaryote. RNAcentral describes it as "bacterial SSU rRNA". It matches the Rfam family "Archaeal small subunit ribosomal RNA", at positions 339 to 747 of the family's 1478-position model. The record is from RNAcentral.
GCGCGAAACCUUUACACUGCGCGAGAGCGCGAUAGGGGGAUCCCAAGUGCGAGGGCAUACAGUCCUCGCUUUUGCCGACCGUAAGGUGGUCGGCGAAUAAGAGCUGGGCAAGACCGGUGCCAGCCGCCGCGGUAAUACCGGCAGCUCGAGUGAUGGCCGAUCUUAUUGGGCCUAAAGCGUCCGUAGCCGGCCGGACAGGUCCGUCGGGAAAUCCACCCGCUCAACGGGUGGGCGUCCGGCGGAAACCAGUCGGCUUGGGACCGAGCGACCCGAGGGGUACGUCCGGGGUAGGAGUGAAAUCCCGUAAUCCCGGACGGACCACCGGUGGCGAAAGCGCCUCGGGAGAGCGGAUCCGACGGUGAGGGACGAAAGCUAGGGUCUCGAACCGGAUUAGAUACCCCCGUAGUCC